CCGGAGAAUGUUAUCACGGGAGACACACGGCGGGUGCUAACGUCCGUCGUGAAGAGGGAAACAACCCAGACCGCCAGCUAAGGUCCCAAAGUCAUGGUUAAGUGGGAAACGAUGUGGGAAGGCCCAGACAGCCAGGAUGUUGGCUUAGAAGCAGCCAUCAUUUAAAGAAAGCGUAAUAGCUCACUGGUCGAGUCGGCCUGCGCGGAAGAUGUAACGGGGCUAAACCAUGCACCGAAGCUGCGGCAGCGACGCUUAUGCGUUGUUGGGUAGGGGAGCGUUCUGUAAGCCUGCGAAGGUGUGCUGUGAGGCAUGCUGGAGGUAUCAGAAGUGCGAAUGCUGACAUAAGUAACGAUAAAGCGGGUGAAAAGCCCGCUCGCCGGAAGACCAAGGGUUCCUGUCCAACGUUAAUCGGGGCAGGGUGAGUCGACCCCUAAGGCGAGGCCGAAAGGCGUAGUCGAUGGGAAACAGGUUAAUAUUC
RNAcentral lists this ribosomal RNA (478 nucleotides) under Shigella sonnei. Its description in RNAcentral is "partial 23S ribosomal RNA". It matches the Rfam family "Bacterial large subunit ribosomal RNA", at positions 962 to 1438 of the family's 2925-position model. Lineage: Bacteria; Pseudomonadati; Pseudomonadota; Gammaproteobacteria; Enterobacterales; Enterobacteriaceae. The record is from RNAcentral.